This 445-nucleotide ribosomal RNA is filed under the name uncultured archaeon. RNAcentral describes it as "bacterial SSU rRNA". It matches the Rfam family "Archaeal small subunit ribosomal RNA", at positions 295 to 741 of the family's 1478-position model. The record is from RNAcentral.
GAUGGAUUCUGAGACACGAAUCCAGGCCCUACGGGGGCGCAGCAGGCGCGAAAACUUUACAAUGCGGGAAACCGUGAUAAGGGAACUCCGAGUGUCCGUAAAUUCGGACUGUCCGUAUGUUUAAAAAGCAUGCGAAGAAAGGGCCGGGCAAGACCGGUGCCAGCCGCCGCGGUAAUACCGGCGGCUCGAGUGGUGGCCACUAUUACUGGGCUUAAAGCGUUCGUAGCUUGGUUGUUAAGUCUCUUGGGAAAUCUAUCGGCUUAACCGAUAGGCGUCCAGGGGAUACUGGCAAUCUAGGGACCGGGAGAGGUGAGGGGUACUUCAGGGGUAGGAGUGAAAUCCUGUAAUCCUUGGGGGACCACCUGUGGCGAAGGCGCCUCACCAGAACGGCUCCGACAGUGAGGGACGAAAAGCUGGGGGAGCAAAACCGGAUUAGAUACCCGGG